Molecule: ribosomal RNA, 320 nt
Filed under: uncultured Thermobacillus sp.
Lineage: Bacteria; Bacillati; Bacillota; Bacilli; Caryophanales; Paenibacillaceae
Description: bacterial SSU rRNA
Rfam family: Bacterial small subunit ribosomal RNA
Source: RNAcentral
UUGGGUUAAGUCCGCAACGAGCGCAACCCUUGAUCUUAGUUGCCAGCAUUCAGUUGGGCACUCUAAGGUGACUGCCGGUGACAAACCGGAGGAAGGUGGGGAUGACGUCAAAUCAUCAUGCCCCUUAUGACCUGGGCUACACACGUGCUACAAUGGACAGAACAAAGGGCAGCGAAACCGCGAGGUUAAGCCAAUCCCACAAAUCUGUUCUCAGUUCGGAUCGCAGUCUGCAACUCGACUGCGUGAAGCUGGAAUCGCUAGUAAUCGCGGAUCAGCAUGCCGCGGUGAAUACGUUCCCGGGCCUUGUACACACCGCCCGU